Capsella rubella is the source of this 668-nucleotide long non-coding RNA. RefSeq lists it as uncharacterized. Lineage: Eukaryota; Viridiplantae; Streptophyta; Magnoliopsida; Brassicales; Brassicaceae. The record is from RefSeq and is a predicted model, not a curated record. The transcript is spliced from 6 exons.
GUGUGCAGUGUAUAUAUAUAUAUUAAACCGGGCCCUAACUGGGCUAAAUUUUAACGUUUAUUUGAGCCCAGUUAAGAAUAUUUUCUUAACUUUCUCAAAUCAAUGCUUCACUCUCACUGUUUCACUUUCACAUGAGUGAUCAUCGUUCUCAAGAAGUACAAAAACCCAUAAAUCAAUGGCGGUGAUGAAGAUUGUGAUGAAUAGAAGAAGAAGAAGAAGAAGGGUGAGUGAGAGAGAAGCAAAGCUUCCAUGUGCAGAGUUUGGUAGAAAAGGGUAUGAAUCUGGUGGAGCAAAACCUCUGACUGAACAUUCCCUGAUGGUCCAGCUUCCAUUAAUAGAUCAUUGUAAAACUUGGUUCCAUAGAACAUUCCAGUAUCGUCUGCAUCAUAGUUAAGAAUUUGCAAAGGAGCGUUGUCUUUUCUUGGUGUGUUGAGACCUUUCAUGGUUAGAAUCUUUGAGUCAGCCCUGCAAGAAAUUAUUGGCACAAGACGGGCAAGGAGUUAUGGUGUCGUUGUAGAAAGAUGAAAAGGAGACGCAACAGCUUGGAUGCUUUCUGGCCAGAAACUGUGAAUAUGUGCAGUUGUGAGAAAAGCGGUAGAUGGCACGAUUUUGGCUGGACCACAGGUGUAACCAGGCCCAGGACCAAGCAAUGUGAAGUUCUUAGGAAG